Molecule: ribosomal RNA, 468 nt
Filed under: uncultured bacterium
Lineage: Bacteria
Description: partial 16S ribosomal RNA
Rfam family: Bacterial small subunit ribosomal RNA
Source: RNAcentral
GACGAACGCUGGCGGCGUGCUUAACACAUGCAAGUCGAACGGAAAGGCCCUGCUUUUGUGGGGUGCUCGAGUGGCGAACGGGUGAGUAACACGUGAGUAACCUGCCCUUGACUUUGGGAUAACUUCAGGAAACUGGGGCUAAUACCGGAUAGGAGCUCCUGCUGCAUGGUGGGGGUUGGAAAGUUUCGGCGGUUGGGGAUGGACUCGCGGCUUAUCAGCUUGUUGGUGGGGUAGUGGCUUACCAAGGCUUUGACGGGUAGCCGGCCUGAGAGGGUGACCGGCCAAAUUGGGACUGAGCUACGGCCCAGACUCCUACGGGAGGCAGCAGUGGAGAAUAUUGCACAAUGGGCGGAAGCCUGAUGCAGCAACGCCGCGUGCGGGAUGACGGCCUUCGGGUUGUAAACCGCUUUCGCCUGUGACGAAGCGUGAGUGACGGUAAUGGGUAAAGAAGCACCGGCUAACUACGUG